AUUAGGUCAGUUGUGGUUUCAACGUUGAAACAACGUUGAUUCAACGUUUAAAGCUGAAUGGUUGAAAAACAUCCAGCACAUGACCAACUUUCAAAGUUGAAAUAUGGUUGAAAUAAGGUCAGUUGUGGUUUCAACGUUGAAACAACGUUGAUUCAACGUUUAAAGAUGAACUGUUGAAAAACUUCCAGCACAUGACCAACUUUCAACAUUGAAAUAUGGUUGAAAUAAGGUCAGUUGUUUUAAUGAAACAACGUUAAAAAUGUUUAAUGCUAAAUGGUAGAAAAAGGUUAACAAGCUUUUAAAUUAUUUAUAUUAAAUUAUUUAAAUUAAUUAUUAUUUUAAUAGCAUUUAAAAAUAUUUUAGUCAUGAUACCUAUUCUAAAAUCUAAAGGUAUAUGUUAAAUAUUAUCAUCAUUAACAACAAUAAAACUAUACAUUUCGCUGCUUUAUCACACUGAAACAACUCCCAUUGGUAGUUUUAUUUUAUUACUUCUAUCAUGAUUGGUUAAUCUGGCUGUCAUUCAGGAAACUGGACAAUGAAUCGGUUCGCGCUUUUCUACAUUUAAAAAUAUGACCGUUAUUGUCGUCUUUCUGUGAGUGAGGCGGCUAACUGUGAGCUGCUGCUCGUUAUAAUUUACUGCUCGGUCGGUCCCGAAUUAUUUCAUAUUUGCCUGUACAUUUUUUAUUUAUUUUGAGCGAAUUUGAGUCGUGACAUGUCAAUGGAGAACAAAAACUGUGAACACAAGAAGGGUCAGGUGUUCUGCGAGGUCCUGAAAACAUCCUGGCAAAAUGAGAUGAUCAAGUUAGAUGCUCACCCAAUGUGUUGCUGAGUCAUCAAGGAUCCAGCUUGUUCUUGAAACAUUGAAGUUUGCCCUCUGCAAGUGAACGACGCCUUGUGGUGCCAUCCCAAAGAAGUUCACAAUCACUCUCACGGUCCUUUUCCUGGACUGUACCCAGCUGGUGGAAUCACCUCCCAAUCUCAAUCCGAACUGCUAAGUCUUUACUCAUUUUCAAGAAACAUCUUAAGACUCAUCUUUUUCACCAGAACUUAACCAACUAAUGCUAGCACUUUUCCUUCUUUUCUUGUCUUUCAUAUAUAUAUAUAAAAAAAAAAAAAACCUGGCUAUGCGUUCUGUACUAGACUAACUGAGACUUGUCAUGGCACUUGUAUACUGUUGUUGUUCGCUUGUACACCUGACUGCUUCUGUUGUUCUCAUUUGUAAGUCGCUUUGGAUAAAAUCGUCUGUUAAAUGAUGAAAUGUAAAUGUUUAUACAGGACGGUACAGAAAGUGCACAAGUGGGAGAGAGUGGAGGGGAUGGCAUCAGAAAGGACCUAGCGCUGGGACACUUUCAAGGAUCACCCGAAGCACAACCACACUGUAUACACUAAGGCUGCUGGUUCUAACAUUUUAGAGUGCCCUGCAGUAGAAAUCUCAUUCUGCAUUCCCCACAGUAAAGAAAACACAGUCCGGGGGGUUCCCAUUAGAAAUCAACUGGUGGAAGGUUCCCUUCUCGAACUGUUCAACACAUUUUCACUGCACAAAUGUACACAACUCUUGUAAUGAAACACAUUACUCAAACAUGUUUUUGACAGAAACUGUAGUUUUCCACCAAAAUAAAAGAUCCACUGGUUUCAGUCAUAAAGGUACAAGGGUUUGUCUUGUAAGUGCUGCAAAAAAAUAUGCAUUUAUGUGCCAAAUUAUUUUACAAAAACCUUUAAAUAUUAUUGUAUUUGGAUUGUUCUUCUACCUGUUUUUAGCAUUACCUCCAUGCAUACUCUGCAUAAUAAAG
Molecule: long non-coding RNA, 1790 nt
Organism: Carassius gibelio (silver crucian carp)
Lineage: Eukaryota; Metazoa; Chordata; Actinopteri; Cypriniformes; Cyprinidae
Exons: 4
Source: RefSeq, a predicted model, not a curated record